Molecule: ribosomal RNA, 463 nt
Filed under: uncultured bacterium
Lineage: Bacteria
Description: partial 16S ribosomal RNA
Rfam family: Bacterial small subunit ribosomal RNA
Source: RNAcentral
GACGAACGCUGGCGGCGUGCUUAACACAUGCAAGUCGAACGGAAAGGCCUUUUCGGAGGUACACGAGUGGCGAACGGGUGAGUAACACGUGGGUGAUCUGCCCUGCACUCUGGGAUAAGCCUGGGAAACUGGGUCUAAUACCGGAUAGGACCGCACUUUAGUGUGUGUGGUGGAAAGUUUUUUCGGUGUAGGAUGAGCCCGCGGCCUAUCAGCUUGUUGGUGGGGUAAUGGCCUACCAAGGCGGCGACGGGUAGCCGGACUGAGAGGUUGGUCGGCCACAUUGGGACUGAGAUACGGCCCAGACUCCUACGGGAGGCAGCAGUGGGGAAUAUUGCACAAUGGGCGCAAGCCUGAUGCAGCGACGCCGCGUGGGGGAUGACGGCCUUCGGGUUGUAAACUCCUUUCGCCAGGGACGAAGCGUUUUGUGACGGUACCUGGAGAAGAAGCACCGGCUAACUACGUG